GUUUGCAAUUAUUUCUACUUCCGGUGGGAAAUUAAGAAUAAAACGCCCCGCGCCCGCGCCAUUUCUCUUCCAUUAACAUUUCGUCUGUUCUCAGGGUAAGUCGAUUUACAUUUAUUAUUAAUUAUUGGUCUCGUAUUGUACUUGAGUGAAUAAUGAUUUGAAUUUUAUUGUUUUCUUUAUAUAGGUAUUUUACAAACUUACAAUUAAAUAUAUUACUUUACGUAAUUACAAAAAGUACCGGUGACUUCAUAUUCAUGACGAUUUAUUCUUUUGUUUUUUUUCAACGAUUUGUUUUAAUGAAAAAAGUUAUGUCUGAUGUUUAAUGCUUUGUUUUUUUUUAAUGUUCAUUCAUCGUUUUCAGUAACUUUUCGAUAACUCCGAGAUUCUACGUGACUUCGUGCCUCUCAACAUGUUCCAAGCAUCUUCUAGCAACAACGGCGGCAGCUCAGCGGCAAUGGCGUGCAUCGCUACCGAUCGCAGAAGACGGACAAACAACACAAAAUAAUAGGUUUAAUAUGACAACAUUAAAUCACAAGUUAAGUAUAUUAUAUUUGUUUGGCAUAAUUCCUGUUUGUCUAAAAAGGAGCAUUAAAAAAACAUUAUAUCCUGAUUAAGUUUAGAUAACAAAAGUAUGGAUGCAAAACUCUCAAUAAAUUUAAAAAAGUGUAUUAAAACGUUUAAAAUGAUUGCCAGUGAUAAAAAAUGAGGAUAAUCAAAUAUUUUAUAAAUGUUUUUUUUUUCAGAAACGCCACAAUUGAUUCCCAGUAGAAAUAGGAAAAUAUAAAAGACCAGUUUCAUCCAUAGGAAGAAAGAUACUACUUAUUUUACCAAUAAAAGGACUUGAGGGCAAAAUAUUUUACAUAUUAGGUACAUAUAAAGUUUUGAUGAAGAAUUUUGAUGAGAAAAAAUAUCAAAAAUGCCACAAAUUACUCUAUAACAUAAAGACAGUUUCAUCAGGAGGAGGAAUGACACAACCAAUAAAAGGAAUAAUUGAAGUCAAAAUAAUUAAACAUAUAUAAAACAGGCUUUGUAUCAGUACAAAAUGGAAUCACCACCAGACGCGCCAGGUGCUCAAAGCAGCGUUACUAAGAAGAAACACGUGAAAGCACUAAACAGACCACCAUCGUGCUCCGUGGCUUUAUCCGCAUUGCUAGGCUCCUAUUGGUCUUAGCACGAUGUUAUCUAAUAUGUAUGUUUAGCCUAUAAGAUGUUAAUCCGACCGGUUAAUAUAUUAUAUAUUCAAAAUUUUAUGUUUAUCUAUGCACUAUUGUUUGCGUCUAGCCCGGGGUGGGGUAGCAUAUUUUUUGCUUCGAUUAUUAUUUUGUAAAUUGCACCCAAAAAAUAUUCAAGUGUAUUUUCCUACGUUUUUUUAUGUAUAGAUUUUAUUUAAGUUGUAUGUUAUUCGUUUUUUUGUUAUUUUGAUUUUGUAUAAAUUUAUACCUAUAGAUUUUCUUUAAAAAUGAAAAAAUGUAUUACUGUUACCAUAAGUUGAAUAAUAUAGUCAUGUUAAUAAAAUCAUUUUAGUUUAAA
Molecule: long non-coding RNA, 1530 nt
Organism: Colias croceus (clouded yellow)
Lineage: Eukaryota; Metazoa; Arthropoda; Insecta; Lepidoptera; Pieridae
Exons: 4
Source: RefSeq, a predicted model, not a curated record